Long non-coding RNA from Ailuropoda melanoleuca (giant panda), 2538 nucleotides. RefSeq lists it as uncharacterized. NCBI's taxonomy places the organism in Eukaryota, Metazoa, Chordata, Mammalia, Carnivora, Ursidae. The record is from RefSeq and is a predicted model, not a curated record. The transcript is spliced from 3 exons.
ACAAAACUUUAUUAGUUACUGCUAAUUAUUUGCUUAUAGUACUAGAGAAUUUUGUAAGUUUUCUGAACAAAAAUAUUUACAUACAUGAAAAUUAUGAAAAAAACAAGCAUUAAAAAUAAAAAGUGAGAUUUGGGUGUGUUUUAAGAGUAUGACGGGUUGUGGUCAAAACUUCGGGUCAAAACUCUCAUGGUACUUAGCCUCGCGGAGGGGCUACAGUGUAUCUGCUAUAGGUGGGCCAGUAAUUCAGAAGAUAACACUCAUGAACUUCUGAUCUACAAGAUAUAUCAAUGUCACUGUUAUUUAAAACCAAAGAUAUAUGAAAUUACAAAUAAUGUUCAGAGAAUACUCUAAUGCAUCACAAAUAGCCACACAAAGUUACGAAACUAGCUUAAAUAUUUACCUAAAAUACACAUAUAAUAAAACAAGGAUACUCUACACAUGUAUAAAAUUUGUGAGGUAGUCCAAAUGUUUUGAGAAUAUAAAUCAGUGAAGUGAGUGGAGAGCCUCCUAAGAACACUGCUUAAAAGGUAAUUCUCACGAGAAUAUAAAAUUUCUGGCCUGAUAACGGAAAACAUUCAGUGUUGUGACUUGAUGGUCAUACCUGCCUUUUAUACAUGUGCUCAGAUGGGGCCAGAGGCUGCUCAGCAUGGGAUGAGAAUGAUGACCAGUGGUUAGCUCCAAGGUGCCACUUCAUUCCAGGUCUUCUAAAGAACAAAAUAAAUUAUUUAGCUAGUUGGACACCAUUAUUUUCCCCAUCAUUCUCAUUUCCCAAGUUCUCCUCUUGCCAUAUUGGUGGUUGAUAAAUCCUGUCAUUUCUUCCAGAAUAUCUCUCAAAUCUAUUUCUUUAUUAUGCAAUUAACUUUAAUUCUAACUCCCAUUUGAUUUCCUUGAGUUGGUUUAAAUUUUUUCCUCAUGUCUUUGCUGCACAACGUAAUUUAUUAUAGCAAUUGUGUGUAAAAACACUUUAUGAGAUAGACUGUAUGUACUAAUUGUCACUGCUAUAAUUUGACCCUUUUUAGUGCUAUCCUCCUUCCAACAAUCGUCAACCCCUUACUCGUCGUUUCCAUCAGGAUAUAGUGUCACUCAACUGCUUUGUGCAUAGUAGGUAAUAAUUAAAUCAUUGGAAGAAAUAAUGUAAGUUGUACAUUUAGUUAUUGAGCUACUAUGUAAAUAAUGAAGAAACCAAGAAACAUUUUUAUUCCUUUGUGCUUUUUUUAAACAUCUUUUUCUUUUGACAAAGUCCUUAUACUGAACUCCAGAAUUAAAUAAUAUUAUAGUAAGAUUCUGUAGUAAUUAGCAUGUAGAAGCUAAGUCUGAUAUACACUCAUGUUGUGUUUUCAAUAACGUCUGUUAAGUAACAUGUAAAUGUUAGUCUAUUUCUGUGACCUUUUAACUUACUAUCAAGUCCCGAGGUAUUUAGAUACUGAGGAGAAUGGUGUGAAGUCAGUGUAAGAUAUGAUUUAUAUAAAAAUAAUUUCUAGUGAAUUUUAAAUAGUACUUUAUAAAGUUUGGUGGAAUAUUUGCAACGUGAAAACCUUUAAAAGUAGAACAUUUCACAAAGAGAAUGCUCAACAGAUUAGAAAAUCAGAUCUGGGAUUUAAUUUUCAGGUUGAGCAGUUAUUUUAAACAGUGAAAAUUAAGCUUUUUAUUUCUUAAUCUUGUUUUUCUUCUAGAGUUAGACAAAUAUUGAUACGUGUUUUCCGGUUAUUGAUUGAGCAUAUUUUUCUUUUGCUUAAAUUAUUUUCCUUUACUUACUGUAGCUUUCAAUAAAAUGAAUAGCUUUGGCAUAUACAUAAUCUCAUCAUUAGAGUUUUCAAUAACAGUGGAAUAGAGAAGGAUAUUUACCUUAUUUUUAUUUCUCUUCCUUUUUGUUCAAUCUGUUGUUUACAUGUCCAUGAAGGCAUUUCCUAAUUGGUACAGACACUCAUUUUGUGUAUCACUUCGAUGAUUUAGCUUAAGAAAACAAGGAUCAUGUUUAUGGUAAGAAGAUACAGAAAAAAAAAAAAACCCCAGACAAAUAACAUCACAUCUACUCAUGUAUUUACUCAUUUCAUUCAUUCAACAAAUAUUUAGUGAAUACCCAUGAUGAAGUGAUUCAUGAGCAGAUAAUCUAGGUUAAGUUGAGGUGAUAGCACAUUUAUUUUGCUCUGUGUAUCUCUUUGACAUUCUUUCAUUACUCUGAUCUCUGGACACAGUUGGUUCUUCCUUAAUGUUAACCUUUCAAUAUUUUACAUUUAAUUCAGUUCCCUCUUCCUACAGAAAUUUAUUUAUAAUUUCCCUUUUCCCCUAUAUACUCAGUAUAUUCUUCUCAUUUGACUACUUCUUUGGGGGGAACAAAUACACUCACUCUUGCCUUUCUAAAAUAACCCCUUCUUUGAUUCUGCUAUCCUUGGAACUACUAUCUUUUCUGCUUCUACUGAAAAAAAAAAAAGACAAAGGUAAUUUUACUGUAAUCACAUUUUUAUUAUCCGUUUUGCCCUUUGUUCCUUUUUUUUAAAAAAGAUUUUAUUUAUUUAUUCGACAGAGAUAGAGACAGCC